CACGGCUAACUACGUGCCAGCAGCCGCGGUAAUACGUAGGUGGCAAGCGUUAUCCGGAUUUAUUGGGCGUAAAGAGAGUGCAGGCGGUUUUCUAAGUCUGAUGUGAAGGCCUUCGGCUUAACCGGAGAAGUGCAUCGGAAACUGGAUAACUUGAGUGCAGAAGAGGGUAGUGGAACUCCAUGUGUAGCGGUGGAAUGCGUAGAUAUAUGGAAGAACACCAGUGGCGAAGGCGGCUACCUGGUCUGCAACUGACGCUGAGACUCGAAAGCAUGGGUAGCGAACAGGAUUAGAUACCCUGGUAG
Molecule: ribosomal RNA, 302 nt
Filed under: uncultured bacterium
Lineage: Bacteria
Description: bacterial SSU rRNA
Rfam family: Bacterial small subunit ribosomal RNA
Source: RNAcentral